UGAGGAAUAUUGGUCAAUGGGCGAGAGCCUGAACCAGCCAAGUCGCGUGAGGGAAGACGGUCCUAUGGAUUGUAAACCUCUUUUGCCGGGGAGCAAAGAGCGGCACGUGUGCCGCGCCGAGAGUACCCGGAGAAAAAGCAUCGGCUAACUCCGUCGCC
This 158-nucleotide ribosomal RNA is filed under the name uncultured bacterium. RNAcentral's name for it is "partial 16S ribosomal RNA". It matches the Rfam family "Bacterial small subunit ribosomal RNA", at positions 355 to 509 of the family's 1533-position model. The record is from RNAcentral.